This is a long non-coding RNA of Dermacentor andersoni, 440 nucleotides long. RefSeq lists it as uncharacterized. Lineage: Eukaryota; Metazoa; Arthropoda; Arachnida; Ixodida; Ixodidae. The record is from RefSeq and is a predicted model, not a curated record.
AUAAAAGGGAGCGCACACACGCCCAUGCCACUCCUCGCUGCGUUGAGGUCGAAACGCACCAGCAUGAAGGCUUUCGUCGUCGCUCUCCUCAUCAGCGUUGUGGCUCUGGCGCUUGGCGUCGAUGAAGAGACGCCGGUGACGAUCGAGUGGCCACCGCGUCCCCGGACCUGCGCCGAAGGCGAAACGUGGAAGCAGUGCGUGAGCGGCAGCUGCGCCGAGGCCACUUGCGCUCGGCCACAGGUGGGACCGCAGUGCACCGCCGACUGCCGCUACGGCUGUUACUGCGCUGACGGUUUCUACCGGAACGAGCGGAAGGUGUGCGUCACCCGCGACAAGUGCCCGUAGCAGUGGUCGCCGAGCAAGAUAUCGAGCUUAUGGGAUCACCAUGAACUAUGUCUACCCCUGCCAAUUUCAAAUGAAGUUUCCAUUAAACAACAAGC